Molecule: ribosomal RNA, 678 nt
Filed under: uncultured bacterium
Lineage: Bacteria
Description: bacterial SSU rRNA
Rfam family: Bacterial small subunit ribosomal RNA
Source: RNAcentral
AGUCGAGCGGUAGCACAGAGAGCUUGCUCUCGGGUGACGAGCGGCGGACGGGUGAGUAAUGUCUGGGAAACUGCCUGAUGGAGGGGGGUAACUACUGGAAACGGUAGCUAAUACCGCAUAACGUCGGGAGACCAAAGUGGGGGACCUUCGGGCCUCAUGCCAUCAGAUGUGCCCAGAUGGGAUUAGCUUGUAGGUGAGGUAACGGCUCACCUAGGCGACGAUCCCUAGCUGGUCUGAGAGGAUGACCAGCCACACUGGAACUGAGACACGGUCCAGACUCCUACGGGAGGCAGCAGUGGGGAAUAUUGCACAAUGGGCGCAAGCCUGAUGCAGCCAUGCCGCGUGUAUGAAGAAGGCCUUCGGGUUGUAAAGUACUUUCAGCGAGGAGGAAGGCGAUAAGGUUAAUAACCUUGUCGAUUGACGUUACUCGCAGAAGAAGCACCGGCUAACUCCGUGCCAGCAGCCGCGGUAAUACGGAGGGUGCAAGCGUUAAUCGGAAUUACUGGGCGUAAAGCGCACGCAGGCGGUCUGUCAAGUCGGAUGUGAAAUCCCCGGGCUCAACCUGGGAACUGCAUCCGAAACUGGCAGGCUAGAGUCUUGUAGAGGGGGGUAGAAUUCCAGGUGUAGCGGUGAAAUGCGUAGAGAUCUGGAGGAAUACCGGUGGCGAAGGCGGCCCCC